RNAcentral lists this transfer RNA (61 nucleotides) under Helianthus annuus (common sunflower). It matches the Rfam family "tRNA". From Rfam's summary of the family: Transfer RNA (tRNA) molecules are approximately 80 nucleotides in length. Their secondary structure includes four short double-helical elements and three loops (D, anti-codon, and T loops). The record is from RNAcentral. Lineage: Eukaryota; Viridiplantae; Streptophyta; Magnoliopsida; Asterales; Asteraceae.
GUCGUUGUAGUAAUUCCCGCCUGUCACGCGGGUGACCCGGGUUCGAUCCCCGGCAGCGGCG